Non-coding RNA from Glossina austeni, 135 nucleotides. Lineage: Eukaryota; Metazoa; Arthropoda; Insecta; Diptera; Glossinidae. The record is from Rfam.
CAGUGGGAGCCAAACCCACCAGGAUAAGAGUCGGAGUCCUGUAACCAGGGUAGCAAUAUGGAGGGAAACCAAAAUGUUGAAGCCUACCGACAGCAUUAUCGAAGGAUAAUGGUGAAUUAUUAGGCCGUAGCGAAA